GGGCCUAUAGUUUAAUGGUAAAACACUGCUGUCGCACAGCAGAGAUCGGGGUUCAAUUCCCCGUAGGUCCA
This 71-nucleotide transfer RNA is filed under the name Candidatus Parcubacteria bacterium. Its description in RNAcentral is "tRNA-Ala". It matches the Rfam family "tRNA". Rfam says of the family: Transfer RNA (tRNA) molecules are approximately 80 nucleotides in length. Their secondary structure includes four short double-helical elements and three loops (D, anti-codon, and T loops). Further hydrogen bonds mediate the characteristic L-shaped molecular structure. tRNAs have two regions of fundamental functional importance: the anti-codon, which is responsible for specific mRNA codon recognition, and the 3' end, to which the tRNAs corresponding amino acid is attached (by aminoacyl-tRNA synthetases). tRNAs cope with the degeneracy of the genetic code in two manners: having more than one tRNA (with a specific anti-codon) for a particular amino acid; and 'wobble' base-pairing, i.e. permitting non-standard base-pairing at the 3rd anti-codon position. Lineage: Bacteria; Candidatus Parcubacteria. The record is from RNAcentral.